CCAGAGAUAAUAUUCACAGCGAGCAGACGUUUGCGUCAGUGUCAGAUAGGUCUCAAUGCCACCCUGCCCCAGGGGGAGUACAGCGGGCAGACGGGCUGGGCAGGCAGGCAGGCACCCGCAGCAGAGCACCCCAAAUCACCGGCCCACCGUGCACCCCACGAUCAUGCUGCUCCUCCUGCACCUGCUGCCUGCCAUGCUGCCCACUGCCGCCCUGGCCAGCUGCACCGGGGCUGGUGCUGACCGACAGCUCAUCCUGGCCAAGGUACGGGCUCGAGUGCUGGAGCAUCUGAGCCCCCCACUUCUCCAGGAGAAGCCCCAGAAGGAAGCAAGGAGGGUGCAUCGGAGAGAUGUCCUCAAAAAUGAUGAAGUCGAGCCCGAGGAGCUGGAGGACACCUCCCAGGUGAUCCUCUUCCCUUCCACAGAUGUGCCCUGCGAGCCCACGCAGCCAGACAAGCUGCUGGAGGAAGAAGGGAUUUUCACCUACCUCUUCCAGCCCUCAGCGCACACCCUGAGCCGUGCAGUGACCUCUGCCCAGCUCUGGUUUUACACCGGCCCCUCAGCCACCCCCAACCACUCAGCCCCCGACGUGCUGACCCUGUCGCUGCAGGGCCGUGUGCCGGUGGCAGCCACAACAGUGCAAACACCUGAGCACUGGACAGUGUUCCACUUCGCCCCAGCACUGUUACCCCAGCUCUCGCAGCCGCUCUUUGUGCUCCUGGUGCGCUGCCCUGGCUGCCCCUGCCUGGCCGAGGGGGAUAAGAUGCCCUUCUUGGUGGUCACCACCCGAGCCAAGGGUACCGAGAGGACGCGUCGCUCGGCCAUGCCCUGGUCCCCAGCUGCCCUGAGCCUGCUGCAGCGCCCAUCCGAGGAUCUGGCCGCCCACACCAACUGCCGCCGGGCUUCCCUCAACAUCUCCUUCGAGGAGCUGGGCUGGGACAAGUGGAUCGUGCAUCCCAGCAGCUUUGUUUUCCACUACUGCCACGGAAGCUGCGCUGAGGGCCACGGGCUGAGUCACCGUCUGGGCGUGCAGCUCUGCUGCGCCGCCCUGCCCGGCACCAUGCGCUCCCUGCGCGUCCGCACCACUUCUGACGGUGGGUACUCCUUCAAGUAUGAGACAGUGCCCAACAUCCUGGCCCAGGACUGCACCUGUGUCUAGGGCAUCCUGCAGCCCGACCCCAGACCGUGAUCCUACCCAAGAGUCGCUCACCCAGGGGACUACCCGCCCCACACCACAGAGACCAGAGGGAUCUUGCAGGGAGGUUUGGGCUGCACCACCCUACCCUGUACAAGCCAGUUUCAGGCUGCCCCAGGUACAUUCACAUCGCCAGACCUGCCCAACAGCCGUCCCAGCCUGGAGCAAACCAGGUCACGGUGGGGCUUGGAAAGGCACAGCACUGACCCCCUGCCGAAGCCAGCCUGCUGUCUGCAACCAGCUUAGCCCAUUUUUCUCCACCAGUUCCAUCUGAGCAGUUUCCCUGCCCCACAAAAAAAAGACUGGAGUCCCACGCCUGCUGCAGAGUACAACAGCCUCCCCAUGUUACUGAGCUGGGCCAGGCUGCCGCGGCAGGAUCAGGACGUGCCAGGGUGAAGCCAUGGCAGGGCCUCACGCCAAUGCCGGGGCCGGUGGCACAUGCAGCACCGCGAGCGAGCCCUCUCCUGGCAGCACAGCCUGUUCGGAAGCUCAACAGGGGAAGCUUCCCCAGCUCCGCUGCAGCCGCCUCCGCACGGCAGGAACGACUGAGUCAACCCGGGCCGAGCAGGGAGGUCCCAAGCAGGCGAGCGCUGCCUGCCCCAGCCCAUCUGCGCAGAAUUCCCUUCCCACCCCUUCCUCCCAAACGACCGGAUGCAGCAGUUCAGUACAAAACGUC
RNA transcript from Columba livia (rock pigeon), 1868 nucleotides. It is a transcript of the gene named inhibin subunit alpha, with no coding region annotated. The transcript has 3 exons. NCBI's taxonomy places the organism in Eukaryota, Metazoa, Chordata, Aves, Columbiformes, Columbidae. The record is from RefSeq and is a predicted model, not a curated record.